GACGAACGCUGGCGGCGUGCCUAAUACAUGCAAGUAGAACGCUGAAGGAGGAGCUUGCUUCUCUGGAUGAGUUGCGAACGGGUGAGUAACGCGUAGGUAACCUGCCUGGUAGCGGGGGAUAACUAUUGGAAACGAUAGCUAAUACCGCAUAACAGUAGAUAUCGCAUGAUAUCUACUUGAAAGGUGCAAUUGCAUCACUACCAGAUGGACCUGCGUUGUAUUAGCUAGUUGGUGAGGUAACGCCUCACCAAGGCGACGAUACAUAGCCGACCUGAGAGGGUGAUCGGCCACACUGGGACUGAGACACGGCCCAGACUCCUACGGGAGGCAGCAGUAGGGAAUCUUCGGCAAUGGACGGAAGUCUGACCGAGCAACGCCGCGUGAGUGAAGAAGGUUUUCGGAUCGUAAAGCUCUGUUGUAAGAGAAGAACGAGUGUGAGAGUGGAAAGUUCACACUGUGACGGUAUCUUACCAGAAAGAGACGGCUAACUACGUG
RNAcentral lists this ribosomal RNA (495 nucleotides) under uncultured bacterium. Its description in RNAcentral is "partial 16S ribosomal RNA". It matches the Rfam family "Bacterial small subunit ribosomal RNA", at positions 28 to 507 of the family's 1533-position model. The record is from RNAcentral.